Molecule: ribosomal RNA, 257 nt
Filed under: uncultured bacterium
Lineage: Bacteria
Description: partial 16S ribosomal RNA
Rfam family: Bacterial small subunit ribosomal RNA
Source: RNAcentral
UACAGAGGUCUCAAGCGUUGUUCGGAUUCAUUGGGCGUAAAGGGUGCGUAGGCGGCGCGGUAAGUCGGGUGUGAAAUCUCGGGGCUUAACUCCGAAACUGCAUUCGAUACUGCCGUGCUUGAGGACUGGAGAGGAGACUGGAAUUUACGGUGUAGCGGUGAAAUGCGUAGAUAUCGUAAGGAAGACCAGUGGCGAAAGGCGAUCUUCUGGGACGGAUACUGACGCUGAGGCGCGAAAGCUAGGGGGAGCAAACGGGG